This 245-nucleotide unclassified non-coding RNA is filed under the name Melitaea cinxia (Glanville fritillary). RNAcentral describes it as "misc RNA ENSMCXG00005007342.1". The record is from RNAcentral. Lineage: Eukaryota; Metazoa; Arthropoda; Insecta; Lepidoptera; Nymphalidae.
UUUUGUUUAUUAAUUAUUACUAUUGAUAUUUUUCUAAGACAUAUAUUUUUAUAUAGUUUCACGCCUUAAAUUAAAUCAAUAGAUUUUGUUUCUUAUCUGUUUAUUUAUUUUCUUACAAGCGUAUAAUUAUUUAUUUUAAAACCUAAGUUACUUCUUACUGCAUUAUUUAUCUGCCAGUGAAAGUCCUGUCACGAUCGGUCCAGCCGUUUAAGAUAUUAGCCGGAACAAACAGACAGACGGACAAA